AUGAACCACCACCUACUACUGCAACAAAGGCUAGGAGAGUUGGCCAAGUUAAUCACUGCAGCAAUUGUAAGCAAACAGGCCAUUCACGAGUAACAUGCAAGAAUGCAACUAUGGAGCCUGCAAGGCAAAAAAAGAGAGGAAGACCACCAUCUCAGAAUCCUACUACUGAAACUAUUAAAAGGAAGGAGCGAGCUAAGAGACAGAAGCAAAGGAAUGGUGGUUCCACAUCUCAGACCAACUAAGAAGCUGCUCUUUAAUCUUAAACCCUUUUGAUGUAGAAAACUUGUUUUCUUUUUGGUGUAGUCGCCAUACAAUAUAGGCAUUACCAUACUUUUGACAUGUACAUAUUCAGUCUGACUUUAUCAAUAUUUUGGGACAUCUUGGCCAUUAGGAAUACUUUUGACAUGUAGACAUUAUGCUACUUAAUAUGUCAUAUGUUUGCUCUGUAAAGUUGAAAAUAUUAAUCAAUGACAAAAUAUCUGGUUUGGUGCA
This is a long non-coding RNA of Humulus lupulus (European hop), 492 nucleotides long. RefSeq lists it as uncharacterized. The record is from RefSeq and is a predicted model, not a curated record. The transcript is spliced from 2 exons. NCBI's taxonomy places the organism in Eukaryota, Viridiplantae, Streptophyta, Magnoliopsida, Rosales, Cannabaceae.